Long non-coding RNA from Cannabis sativa, 649 nucleotides. RefSeq lists it as uncharacterized. NCBI's taxonomy places the organism in Eukaryota, Viridiplantae, Streptophyta, Magnoliopsida, Rosales, Cannabaceae. The transcript is spliced from 2 exons. The record is from RefSeq and is a predicted model, not a curated record.
UUAAAAAAAAUAGUGUAGUGUACAGUUAGCAAGCUCAUCAACAAAAACAGAAGCGGAGGAACCAAAGAAGAAGGAAGAAGAAAAGGAAGAACAAGAUCAAUUGAACGUUUGGACGUUUCGUUUUGAAUUUUGGGGAAAAACAGAGGAAAUAUGGAGAAGAAGAAGAGUAAGAAGAAUCAGAAAGGUGGUGGUGUGGAUGAGCAAGUUGAGAAGAAGAUAUAUCUGACUGGAGAUGAGCAUUACGAGCUCUAUGAGGAGGUUGGCCAUGGUGUUAGCGCUUCUGUACAUCGAGCUCUCUGUAAGCCCUUAAACGAGAUUGUCGCCAUCAAAAUUCUUGAUUUCGAGCGCGAGAAUUGUGAUUUAGUACUUUUUAUUGUUAAAUUUUUGAGAUUUGGUAUUGUGUAAAAAAAUAUAUACAAAUAGCAUAUUAGGAUCUGUAAAAUUAAAAAUAUGGGUGAUGAUUUCUUAUUAUUGUUUUCGUUAGUUACCAGAAAGUGGUCAAAAUAUUCAUAAUUCUAUUCUAGCUAAAUACUCAAUUUUAUGUUAUGAGUGAUAUAAGGCAAUGGUGGAUUUGCUAUUAUAAGCAAACUAUAUUGAUUCAAUACUGUAUAUGAAUAGAAAAGUGGUAUUUUUCUCUUGCUUAUUUUAA